UUUUUUUUUUUUUAAUGCACAUCACAUUGCAAUGUAGGAAGCUGGCACAUGUGGGCCAGCUAGCACCCAGACAAUUCACGAGAGUAGAAUUCACCAAGAUCCAGGAUUUGGUUGUCAGAAGUGUUGUUAAUGCCUAGAGAAUGGAUAAAUGGUUCAGGGGCACACUCACAUUAAUAAGGCUUGUAGAGUCUGGAUAGAAGAAUGGAGAAAUAGGUAGAUCAGAUAAGGUAUUAAUAUACAUUUAUGUACAUAUACAAUAUACAUAUACAUAUAUGUACUUAUACAAUAUACAUAUACAAUAUAAAUGCACAUUAACAAACUCACAGAGAGAUUUAUUUAUCACAUAAGAGAAAUAUAACAUAAUAUCAAUUUAUAAAUCAGAUGUUUAUUGACAGUUUCCUGGACCUUCUUGAGUCAUAACCAAAAUAGAUAGAAAACCAAGUUGUCUGGAUGCAAAUGGAAAGAGAAUAAGAGGAAUAGGUGAUUUUUUUUUUAAGAAGUCUCUCCUAAAUUCGGUGGUUUGCAGCACCACCCUACCAAAUAGAUAUACACUGAAGCAAGAAAACCCUAUUUAGGGGGUCUGCUUCAUCAAAACAUCCUCACCUCUGUGUCAGGCCAUGCACAACACUUGCCUCUGUGAUGCUUUUUUUAACUUUGUCCAUGACUGUCCCAAUACUCCUUCAGUAAGCAGAAUAACGGCUCCCUAAAGAUGCCCACAUUCUAAUCCCCGGAACCAAUGAAUAAAUUAUGUUACAUGGCAAGUGGGAAUUAGGUUGCAGAUGGGAUUAAGUUGCUAAUCAGCUGACCUUAAAAUAAGGAAAUAAAUUAUUCUAGAUCAUUUGAGUGGUCCAAUGUAAUCACCAUGGCCCUUAAAUAGGGCUAAAGAAUUAGAAUCAGAGUGAUGGCAUCUCAAGAAAGAAUAACUGGCCAUCGCUGACAUUGAAGAUGAAAGGGAACCAGUGUCCAAGAAAUGUAGGUGGCCUCUAAAAACUGGAAAAGGCAAGAAAAUAGAUUCUCCCCUAAACUCUCCUAAAGGAAUGCAAUUCUGCCAACAUCUUGAUUUUAAGCUCUUGGGACCCAUUUCAGAUUAAAGACCUCCAUAGCUAUAAGACAGAAAAUUUGCUUUAUUUCAAGCUACUCCACUGUGGUAACUUGUUGCAGCAGCAAUAGAAAACUAAUACAACCCCAUACAUCCUCACUGAGCCUUGCAACUGUUCUUUAAAUAUGCUAUAUAAAAAUCUUAUAACAGUUCAUCUUUGUUAGCCUAGAAUUAUUUUUCUCUUUACAAAUUGACUUUGUAUCACUCUUCCCAGUUCCACUGUGUAUUGAAUUUUUCUGGUUUCAUUCACCAAGGAUUUUCAUAUGCCCUUAUUGCUAAGUUUGGAGGCAGGACCUCUGUACCAAUGAGAGAUAUAUUCUCUAGAGUUUAUCAAGAAGGAUUAGCUCUCAGAAGAGAAAUUUUUAGGAAAAGAAUUCUUAACUUGAUGAAUAAAGAACUCUGAUCAUCAAAUUACAUUAGUUAAAAUUUUGCUGCAGAUACAAACUCAUGGAUGAAGAAUGUGACAUCCCAACUAUUCAUUCAGAAAAAGACUGAAGUUACUCUAAUAGCAAAUUGACUUUUAAGGGUAAAAACUGAUCCCAGUAAAAACUGUUUAGACAGCAGGAGCACAACAGAGAAGAAAAUGAAGCCAAAAUAGGUCACCAAUGUGGGUAACUAGGGCUCAAUCCCACUGAGGAUCUCUGGAAGCCAAUAUAGAACACAAACCUCAGAGUUAUCCCAUGUGAGGGUGUGGGAGCUGGGAUAUUUAUACUCUUGGUCAUUGAUUGACAGCUGCUCCUGGAAGACAUUAAUUCCCCAGCAUUUCCAGCUUAUAGAGCAAGUGGCAAAGUAGGCUUUGGAAAGCAGAGAAAGACCUCAGGCAAAGAAAUGCAGGUGCUGGCAGAUGAAAGGCAAGCAAAGCUGGGACAACUGAAGUGAUAAGGGAUGUAGUAAUGAGCAGGGCCCUUGCGGCAUCUGCUACAGUCCCCAUACUUUGAGGCACUGUUCACACCAAGUAAAAAUGAUGGCCAUCAGAUAGAUAACAUUUAUAAUACUGUUUUCUAGGAUAAUUUCAUCAAAGCCUAAUCUUUUAGAGUUGACAUAGGAAAGCCAGCAAACAUGGUAUAAAAUUUCUAAGUGUUGGGGCAGUCUGGAUGGCUCAGCAGAUAGCACCGCCUUCAGCCUAGAGCGUGAUCCUGGAGACCCGAGAUUGAGUCCCACAUCUGGCUCCCUGCAUGAAGCCUGCUUCUCCUUCUGCCUGUGUCUCUGCCUCUCUCUCUCUCUCUCUCUCUCUCUGUCUCUCAUGAAUAAAUAAAUAAAAUCUUUAAAAAAUGUCUAAGUGUUCACAUUGCUUGUUUUAACUGAUGGUUGUCAGAGGGAAGGGGCAAGUGGGAUGGGCAAAUGGGUGAAGGGGAGUGGGAGAUAUGGGCUUCUUGUUUUUAUGUCCACUAUUUGCUCCUUAUCCAUUUAUCCAUUUGUGAAUUCAGCAAACAUUGGCCUGAGGAUCCCCAAUAAGGUCUGAGCUAUUCUACAUGCUGGAGGAAUAAAACCAAAUAGUAUGUGGCCUGUGUCCACAAGGCCAGUCAGCAAUUACAAAACAGAUAGACAUCUCUAUAGAUGCUGGAGCCACACAGACAGAAAGCAAGAAAUAAGACAGGAGGGAAUUUGAGAAGCUUUCCAGGAAGAGGAGUUUCUCUUUUUUUAAAGAUUUACUUAUUUGAGAGAAAGAGAGAACUGGGCAGGAGGGGAAUGGGUGGAGGAAGAGGGAGAGAGAGAAUCCUAAUCAGACUCUAUACUGAGUGUGGAGCCUGAUACCAAUGAGUCCCAUGACUGAGAUCAUGACCCAAGUCAAAACCAAGAGAGAGGGCAGCCUGGGUGGCUUAGCUGUUU
This 2929-nucleotide long non-coding RNA is filed under the name Canis lupus familiaris (dog). RNAcentral describes it as "lncRNA (ENSCAFG00845013161.1)". Lineage: Eukaryota; Metazoa; Chordata; Mammalia; Carnivora; Canidae. The record is from RNAcentral.